This 123-nucleotide small RNA is filed under the name Marmota monax (woodchuck). The record is from RNAcentral. Lineage: Eukaryota; Metazoa; Chordata; Mammalia; Rodentia; Sciuridae.
GCUGGGCAUGGUGGUGAAUGCCUGUAAUCCCAGCAGUUGGGGAGGCUGAGAUAGGAGGAUUAUGAGUUCAAAGGCAGCCUCAGCAAUUUAGGCCUUAAGCAACUCAGUGAAACCACAUCUCUA